GAUCAAAGUGUAGUAUCUGUUCUUAUCAGCUUAAUAUCUGAUACGAUCCCCAUUGGGGAUCUUCGAUAUUAAACUGAUUUUUGGAACUGGGAGAAGAUGUAGGAGCUUGCUCCAACUUCUCCACNGGUUNGC
Molecule: small nuclear RNA, 132 nt
Filed under: Hyboscolex sp. AMEBU14762
Lineage: Eukaryota; Metazoa; Annelida; Polychaeta; Scalibregmatidae
Description: partial U2 snRNA
Rfam family: U2 spliceosomal RNA
About the family: U2 is a small nuclear RNA (snRNA) component of the spliceosome (involved in pre-mRNA splicing). Complementary binding between U2 snRNA (in an area lying towards the 5' end but 3' to hairpin I) and the branchpoint sequence (BPS) of the intron results the bulging out of an unpaired adenosine, on the BPS, which initiates a nucleophilic attack at the intronic 5' splice site, thus starting the first of two transesterification reactions that mediate splicing.
Source: RNAcentral